GAUGAAGAACGUAGCGAAAUGCGAUACUUGGUGUGAAUUGCAGAAUCCCGUGAACCAUCGAGUCUUUGAACGCAAGUUGCGCCCGAAGCCAUUAGGCCGAGGGCACGCCUGCCUGGGCGUCACACGUCGUUGCCCCCCCAUCUACUCCUUCGGGAUUGCGGGGGGCGGAUGAUGGCCUCCCGUGCGCCUCGUCGCGCGGUUGGCAUAAAUGCCAAGUCCUCAGCGACGCACGCCACGACAAUCGGUGGUUGCGAAACCUCGGUUGCCCGUCGUGUGCGGUCGUCGCGCAUCGAGGGCUCGAAAAAAUUGCCGGGCUCCGGCUCGGCUUUCAACGCGACCCCAGGUCAGGCGGGGUUACCCGCUGAAUUUAAGCAUAUCAAUAAGCGGAGGA
This 391-nucleotide unclassified non-coding RNA is filed under the name soil metagenome. Its description in RNAcentral is "partial contains 5.8S ribosomal RNA, internal transcribed spacer 2, and large subunit ribosomal RNA". The stretch from base 1 to 122 matches the Rfam family "5.8S ribosomal RNA", at positions 35 to 154 of the family's 154-position model. The record is from RNAcentral.